UGCGGCUCAGUUUGAGAAACCGUAAUGUAAAUUUUAGGUUAGGCUCUGUGCCUUCUCAGUAGCAGCCGCUCAAUUUAUCUCUUUCGUUUCGACUCUUGCCGAUUUUUUACAAUAGUUCGAUCGAUCGGUCUUUAAAAUCAUUUUCGAGUAAAGAGAAUAGAUGCGAUGAAGAGUGAAAAUGAAGAGAAGAUCUGAUUGCGAGGUGCUUAAAAUUUCUCUCGCAAUAUGAAGCUCUUUACUAUAUGGUAGUCGAAUUUGGGGGCUUGAAUUUGGCUCGAAUUCAGAGAAGAAAAAGAAGAGAAAAAGAAGGAAGAAGAAGAAGAGAAGGAGGAAGGAGGAGGACUAGAGGGGGCAUAAUCACAGGGGGAGGAGGAGGCAGGGCCGGAGGCGACGGCGGUGGUGCUGCGAUGAUCGGCGGUGGCGAGGCGACGGCGAUGGUGCGGCGACGAUCUCCUCUCCUCUCUCUUUCUCUCUUUCUCCUCAUCUUUCUCUUCUCCUCUCUUCUUCCUCUGCUCUUCUCCUGUGUUCAUCGAAGAAGAAGAAGAAAAGAAAGACAGAAAAGGAAGAGAAAGAAAAGGCAGAAAAAAAAAAAUUGAAACUCAAAAUGACGUCGUUUUGGGUUUCGAGCCGAAUUCGGUCACGAGUCAUUUUCCAUUUGAAAAUAUGAAUUGUAUUUUGAGUUUGUGAAUUUUGAAAUUGUGAUUUGAGUAUAGAAAAUUUGUUUGGUGAA
Molecule: long non-coding RNA, 730 nt
Organism: Camellia sinensis
Lineage: Eukaryota; Viridiplantae; Streptophyta; Magnoliopsida; Ericales; Theaceae
Source: RefSeq, a predicted model, not a curated record